ACCUGGCUGGCUCAGUUGGUGGAGUGGAGGACUCUUGAUCUCAGGGUUGUGGGUUCGAGCCCCACAUUGGGUA
Molecule: transfer RNA, 73 nt
Filed under: Felis catus (domestic cat)
Lineage: Eukaryota; Metazoa; Chordata; Mammalia; Carnivora; Felidae
Rfam family: tRNA
About the family: Transfer RNA (tRNA) molecules are approximately 80 nucleotides in length. Their secondary structure includes four short double-helical elements and three loops (D, anti-codon, and T loops). Further hydrogen bonds mediate the characteristic L-shaped molecular structure. tRNAs have two regions of fundamental functional importance: the anti-codon, which is responsible for specific mRNA codon recognition, and the 3' end, to which the tRNAs corresponding amino acid is attached (by aminoacyl-tRNA synthetases). tRNAs cope with the degeneracy of the genetic code in two manners: having more than one tRNA (with a specific anti-codon) for a particular amino acid; and 'wobble' base-pairing, i.e. permitting non-standard base-pairing at the 3rd anti-codon position.
Source: Rfam by way of RNAcentral